GAUGAACGCUGGCGGCGUGCCUAAUACAUGCAAGUCGAGCGAACAGAUAAGGAGCUUGCUCCUUUGACGUUAGCGGCGGACGGGUGAGUAACACGUGGAUAACCUACCUAUAAGACUGGGAUAACUUCGGGAAACCGGAGCUAAUACCGGAUAACAUAUUGAACCGCAUGGUUCAAUAGUGAAAGGCGGCUUUGCUGUCACUUAUAGAUGGAUCCGCGCCGUAUUAGCUAGUUGGUAAGGUAACGGCUUACCAAGGCAACGAUACGUAGCCGACCUGAGAGGGUGAUCGGCCACACUGGAACUGAGACACGGUCCAGACUCCUACGGGAGGCAGCAGUAGGGAAUCUUCCGCAAAGGGCGAAAGCCUGACGGAGCAACGCCGCGUGAGUGAUGAAGGUCUUCGGAUCGUAAAACUCUGUUAUCAGGGAAGAACAAAUGUGUAAGUAGCUGUGCACAUCUUGACGGUACCUGAUCAGAAAGCCACGGCUAACUACGUG
This 497-nucleotide ribosomal RNA is filed under the name uncultured bacterium. Its description in RNAcentral is "partial 16S ribosomal RNA". It matches the Rfam family "Bacterial small subunit ribosomal RNA", at positions 28 to 507 of the family's 1533-position model. The record is from RNAcentral.